This 247-nucleotide RNase P RNA is filed under the name Archaeoglobus profundus DSM 5631. Its description in RNAcentral is "Archaeal RNase P". It matches the Rfam family "Archaeal RNase P". Rfam says of the family: Ribonuclease P (RNase P) is a ubiquitous endoribonuclease, found in archaea, bacteria and eukarya as well as chloroplasts and mitochondria. Its best characterised activity is the generation of mature 5'-ends of tRNAs by cleaving the 5'-leader elements of precursor-tRNAs. Cellular RNase Ps are ribonucleoproteins. The record is from Rfam by way of RNAcentral. Lineage: Archaea; Methanobacteriati; Methanobacteriota; Archaeoglobi; Archaeoglobales; Archaeoglobaceae.
GAGUGGCGGUGGGCGGCUGUCCGAAAGGAGGAAAGUCCCCCCACCGCUAAAAGGCGGACCCCCGCAAGGGGGUGUGCCGAGAGGCACGGCAACGGCACAGAAACGAUACCCGCUUGGGGAAAUGCAAGGAGGCCGAAAGGCUGAGGUCACCCAAGCGGGAUGAAACGGCCGUCCCCGCCGGUGCAAGGGCUUAGCCCGCUUAGACCAAUGCCGCCGAGAAACAGAAGGGGGCUUACUACCGCCACUC